ACUGCCCCUCCAGGCGUUGGAGGUGUGGCUGCUGUGUCACAUCUGCGUCACUAGGGGGCAGAGAGAAUAGAGGCUAUGUCUACGCUCAGUGUUCCCACCCGUGAAUGCCUGAAUGAUUAGUAGCCUGACACGG
Small nucleolar RNA from Chinchilla lanigera (long-tailed chinchilla), 133 nucleotides. NCBI's taxonomy places the organism in Eukaryota, Metazoa, Chordata, Mammalia, Rodentia, Chinchillidae. The record is from Ensembl.